RNAcentral lists this long non-coding RNA (2826 nucleotides) under Homo sapiens (human). RNAcentral describes it as "HSALNT0398579". The record is from RNAcentral. Lineage: Eukaryota; Metazoa; Chordata; Mammalia; Primates; Hominidae.
GGGCAGAAUCACCCACUGAGUCCCAGACACAAACUGCAUGAGGGUCUACACAGGUAAGAAGGUCGGUCUCCGAGGCCUGGGGCUCCAGGCCCCCUCAGCUCUGGGACCCUGAGCCCAGCCCCUGUAUCCCUCUGCCCUCCCAAUGGACUCCAGGCCCCUGCUGGGCACACUCACACUGCACAGAGAGGUCCAGGGCUCGCUGCUGGGAGCCAAGCCUGUUCUCCGCUCGGCAGGUGUAGCGCCCUGAAUCCCCAGCCUUCACCCCGGGCAGCUCCAGCCCCAGGGGUCUAGGGCCCCAGGGAUGGGACGAGGAGAGGACUCUGUUCUGCAGGACCCAGCUCAGUGUGGCAGGGGGCUGGCUGUCAGCAGCACAGAGGAGCCGCAGGAACUGGCCUUUUUGGGCUUCCAGGGAAAAGAAAGUGGGACUAUCCCGGGAAGACAAGUGACAACCAGCGCCAGGGCUCACGUGUGUGGACCAGACGCCAUUCCCAUCCCCCUCCCAGGGCUGCGGCGGCAUCCUGGGACCCCACAGCUUCCUCUCCCUGGAUGCUCCUGAGCUGGGAGCCGCUCACUGUCCCACUGGGCUCCUCCACCUCCCCACCCACCGGGGCUGUCUGCACACCCCACCCUCCCAGGCCACACUCACAGGCCACACGGAGUCGGACGGUCCUCUGUGCGCUCACACCCUUUCUGGAGAAGUCCACAUGGCAGGUGAGGUCGGUGUUGUGGUCCUGGGGUCUGGGCGUGAAGCUGAGCACUGAGAAGUGGGAGGUCGUUGGUUUGGUUCCUUGGGAGGAGAGGGCAGCCCCCGUCCAGGAGAAAGAAGGGGGUGGACAUUCCUCAAAGGCCCAGUUAAACACACAGAUGACCGUCACCGGCUGCCCGGGCUCCAGGGUCUCGGGGAUGUAGACAUCAGGCUUCUGAGUCAGGGCUGGGACAGAGACCGUGGUGGGAGAUUCUUGUGCUGCAGGGGUCCCUGAGAGCCCUCUCUGCUCAGCCCAUAGGCUGUCCCCAGGGUCCCUCCCCAGUGUGAGAGGCAGGGGUUCCCACCCCAUUCCAUACCUGUUACUUUUAGAAAGAACCCAUCGUUCAUGAAAUUAUAUCUCACAUAGCUUCCUCUCUCCACCCGAAAGAAGUACUGUGACUCAUCCUGCAUCUGCGCGUCUCUGAUCACCAAGGAGCAGUUCCCCUUGGCGGGAUCCCCAGUGAGCUGGAAUCGGCCCCGGGUGCUCAUUUCCACCUCUCGACUCUGGUGGUUUGUGGCCACAGGAGCACCCUUGGUUGUCUCAGUCACUGCUUUGAACCAGUAGCCAUAAGCUGGGGUAGACCCUGUCCAGUCCUGUCGGGGGUAGGAGAAAGAGCAGGGCACAGAGAUGCACAGGCCCUCCGGCACCAUCACUGACUCCUGCACUCGUAUCCAGAAUCUCCCAUCCAUAGCCUGGGACCCUGUGGGGAGACAGAGGCUCAACCUGCAACCCCAGCCCUAGCUCCGCCCCAGGUCCUUUCCGGCCCUUGGCCCACUCACCGCCCAGCAGCGAGGACAGCAGCAGUGGCAGUAGCAUCUCCGCAUAGGAGGCGCAGGGCCUGCCUGAGACAGGCCUGUUCUCUGGUCGUGCUGUGAGUGGCUCAGGGCUCUUGGCAGAAGGGGAAGCCGAAGGCGGAAGCUGAGCCCUGGGGCCUGAUGCAUGAAAUGAGCUUCAGACGCUGAGCUCACAGAACUCCUUUGCCUUCCCCCACACUCUCCGGCCCACCUUGCCCAGUUGUCCUCUGGGUCUCCUGGGGGCCCAGCCUGGCCUUGGGCUUGUUGAGCUGGUCCUUCCAGAGCUCCCUGUGUAGGAGGAGAGGGCAGGCUUGUGUCUAUCCUGGGGGCCUGGCUGGGGGUGGGGUAGUGGGGUGGGGGCUCUCCCUCUGGGCCCUGGGUCAUCGGAAAAGCAGAAGUGAGAAGUCCACAGUGAGCUACCCUUAUCUGGGCCACUGGUGGUGGAGGUGGUGGGUACAGGGGAAGGGACCGUUACUGGAGGGGGCUGGUCUUGUCAGGUAAAAUGCAGGAUGCCUGGUUAAAGCUUUCACAGACAAUAUAAAGUAUUUUAUUUUAUGUUUUUUGGUAUAAGUAUGUCCGAAAUGCUGCAUGGGAUAUACUUAUACCAGAAAGCAAAAUAAAUUUAUCUGAAAUUCAAAUUAAUUAAUUAAUUAAUUAUAUUUUGAGACAGAGUCUCACUCUGUCACCCAGGCUGCAGUGCAGUGGUGCAAUCUCUGCUUACUGCAACCUCCACCUCCCAGGCUGAAGUGAUUCUCCUGCCUCAGCCUCCUGAGUCUGGGCUUACAGGCACGCGCCACCACGCCAAGCUAAUUUUUGUAUUUUUAGUAGAGGUGGGGUUUCACCAUGUUGGCAGGGCUGGUUUUGAACUCCUGACCUCAAAUGAUCCACCUGCCUUGACCUCCCAAAGUGCUGAGAUUACAGGUGUGAACCACCGCACCUGGCCUAAAAUUCAAAUUUAACUGAGCAUGUUGAAUUUCUUUUUUUCUAAAUCUGGCCACCGUAGGGUGGUGUCAGCUCCACCUCUUCAUGCUUCCUGGUGAGCUCACUGACCCUUGGUCCCCAGAAGCAGUCUCCUGCCCCAACCAGGCCCUAGUCCACUUCCCAGUCUCCCUUCCUCCUCUGUCAUUCAAUUGGGACACCCAUUGGGAUUAGAACACAUAUGUCCAAAGCUAAUGCUGAUGGGAAGAGUUUGAGGAAGGCGGGAGUGAGGGGCAGAGUGGGGGGAACAGACUAGGGAAGGGGUAAUUUGCAAUGAAUGGAGUAAACUCUACAAGAUGUUUUCCCCU